Molecule: small nuclear RNA, 200 nt
Organism: Acipenser ruthenus (sterlet)
Lineage: Eukaryota; Metazoa; Chordata; Actinopteri; Acipenseriformes; Acipenseridae
Product: U2 spliceosomal RNA
Exons: 1
Source: RefSeq, a predicted model, not a curated record
UUGUCUUUUCCUGAUGGAAUAAUAAAAUCAUUGAAAUACAAAAAAAUCUGAUCUUAUCAGUUUAAUAUCUGAUAUGUCCCCCAUAGGGGGACCCGUCUAUUAAAUUGAUUUUUGGAAGCAGGAGAUAGAACCGGGGCUUGCUCCAUCCACUCCAUGCAUCGACACGGUAUUGCAGUACCUCCGGGAACGGUGCACAAAAA